GGCUCAAUGGUCUAGUAGCAUGAUUCCUGCUUCGGGUAACACACCGCGCUUACGUAAGCGUUCAGUGCAGGAGGUCGCGGGUUCAAUUCCCGCUUGAGCCC
Non-coding RNA from Hymenopellis radicata, 101 nucleotides. The record is from the annotation of a GenBank genome assembly. NCBI's taxonomy places the organism in Eukaryota, Fungi, Basidiomycota, Agaricomycetes, Agaricales, Physalacriaceae.